GACGAACGCUGGCGGCGUGCCUAAUACAUGCAAGUCGAGCGGACUUUCAAGAAGCUUGCUUUUUGAAAGUUAGCGGCGGACGGGUGAGUAACACGUGGGCAACCUGCCUGCAAGACGGGGAUAACUCCGGGAAACCGGGGCUAAUACCGGAUAAUAUCUUCCUUCGCAUGAAGGAAGGUUGAAAGGCGGCGCAAGCUGCCGCUUGCAGAUGGGCCCGCGGCGCAUUAGCUAGUUGGUGAGGUAACGGCUCACCAAGGCGACGAUGCGUAGCCGACCUGAGAGGGUGAUCGGCCACACUGGGACUGAGACACGGCCCAGACUCCUACGGGAGGCAGCAGUAGGGAAUCUUCCGCAAUGGGCGGAAGUCUGACGGAGCAACGCCGCGUGAGCGAAGAAGGGCUUCGGGUCGUAAAGCUCUGUUGUCAGGGAAGAACAAGUACCGUUCGAACAGGGCGGUACCUUGACGGUACCUGACCAGAAAGCCACGGCUAACUACGUG
RNAcentral lists this ribosomal RNA (499 nucleotides) under uncultured bacterium. RNAcentral describes it as "partial 16S ribosomal RNA". It matches the Rfam family "Bacterial small subunit ribosomal RNA", at positions 28 to 507 of the family's 1533-position model. The record is from RNAcentral.